CGAGAGAAAGAGCCGAUAAUAUUCCCGAAUCGUUUUAUUGGGUGUAAACACUGGAAAGGAUGGCUGAUAAACGUUCGAUAAAUUACGUUUAAUGGUGUGAAAUUAGUGGAGCCGCGGUCGGAUUUCCGUACGGUCCAUUUACCAUCUCAUUUUUUUUCUCUCUCAUUCUCUUUUCUCUCCCGCAUCCUCUACACUAUACUCUUAUACCC
Molecule: non-coding RNA, 209 nt
Organism: Cinara cedri
Lineage: Eukaryota; Metazoa; Arthropoda; Insecta; Hemiptera; Aphididae
Source: the annotation of a GenBank genome assembly